Molecule: long non-coding RNA, 568 nt
Organism: Arabidopsis lyrata subsp. lyrata
Lineage: Eukaryota; Viridiplantae; Streptophyta; Magnoliopsida; Brassicales; Brassicaceae
Exons: 2
Source: RefSeq, a predicted model, not a curated record
UUGAAGGGUCAGAAAGUGGAAACUAAAAGAUAAAUGAGUGUUAUUUAAAAUCAAGAGGAACACGAUCCAUUGACAAAAACCACAUUGCUCUCAACUUUUAGUGAGAGAGAGAGAUAGAUCUAGAGAGAACAAAUUCUUCAUAGCAACUAGAGGAAGGAUCCAAAGGGAUCGCAUUGAUCCUAAUAAAGGUGAAUUACCCCAAUCUUUUCUUAAUAAUUAGCAAACAAAUCAAAAAAAUUUGCUUGGUUUUGGAUCAUGCUAUCUCUUUGGAUUCAUCCUUCGGUAGCUUCCUCUUCGAUCGUAUGGUUUUAAAUCAACCAGCCUGAUGCUUCACCGGGAACCUUGCUAGCUUUAAGAUUCCCCAACCUUUGAUCUCAAGCCUACAACAGUAUAUAACGAACUCUCUUCUUACAGUUCAAUUUUUUUAAAGGUGCAAAAGAUUUUGGUGGACGGACAAAUAUGGAAGAAGGGCGAUGUAAUUUAUUUUAUGCAACAUUUGAAAUUCCAUUGUCUCCUUCUACACUACAUUCCUGGUCAAUUUUACGAGACUUACAUUUUCUUCAUUGAA